This 592-nucleotide ribosomal RNA is filed under the name Bacillus sp. ARC03-02. Its description in RNAcentral is "bacterial SSU rRNA". It matches the Rfam family "Bacterial small subunit ribosomal RNA", at positions 336 to 917 of the family's 1533-position model. The record is from RNAcentral. Lineage: Bacteria; Bacillati; Bacillota; Bacilli; Caryophanales; Bacillaceae.
UUCCUACGGGAGGCAGCAGUAGGGAAUCUUCCGCAAUGGACGAAAGUCUGRCGGRGCAACGCCGCGUGAGUGAAGAAGGUUUUCGGAUCGUAAAACUCUGUUGUUAGGGAAGAACAAGUGCCGUUCGAAUAGGGCGGCGCCUUGACGGUACCUAACCAGAAAGCCACGGCUAACUACGUGCCAGCAGCCGCGGUAAUACGUAGGUGGCAAGCGUUGUCCGGAAUUAUUGGGCGUAAAGCGCGCGCAGGUGGUUUCUUAAGUCUGAUGUGAAAGCCCACGGCUCAACCGUGGAGGGUCAUUGGAAACUGGGGAACUUGAGUGCAGAAGAGGAAAGUGGAAUUCCAAGUGUAGCGGUGAAAUGCGUAGAUAUUUGGAGGAACACCAGUGGCGAAGGCGACUUUCUGGUCUGUAACUGACACUGAGGCGCGAAAGCGUGGGGAGCAAACAGGAUUAGAUACCCUGGUAGUCCACGCCGUAAACGAUGAGUGCUAAGUGUUAGAGGGUUUCCGCCCUUUAGUGCUGCAGCUAACGCAUUAAGCACUCCGCCUGGGGAGUACGGUCGCAAGACUGAAACUCAAAGGAAAUUGACGGA